This is a long non-coding RNA of Sebastes umbrosus (honeycomb rockfish), 3788 nucleotides long. RefSeq lists it as uncharacterized. The transcript has 2 exons. The record is from RefSeq and is a predicted model, not a curated record. NCBI's taxonomy places the organism in Eukaryota, Metazoa, Chordata, Actinopteri, Perciformes, Sebastidae.
UGAGAUUAGUUUGCAGCCCCUCUGCCUUUCCUCUCCUCUUCUUCGAGCUGCCUGAGGUGUCAGCACAAUGAUUCACGCUUGCUUUGUUUCAUUUAAAAAACUACAAAUUCUUCGAGAAUAUGUACAGAAAAUGUUCUGGAAAGAGGACUGCAUGUGGAGAGAAAGGAUUUAAAGUAUAUGCAUGGACAUAAUUGCUUAAAAAAAGAAGAGUCAGUGACGUCACACAGGAAGCUGUCUUGGAUAUUGCCUGAGGAAAGAUACUAAUGAGUGUCUGUAGCGUGGACACAUUCGAAAAUUAAAGUGCUGUGCUCUAUCCAGGACUCGCACGUUGGAUUAUUUUAGUGUUUUUCCAAGCAAAAACAUUAUCUUUGGAUUCGCUUGCACCCAGAGAUUGGACCCUUUCCUUGCCCUUAUUUUCACUUCAGAGCUCCAUGACACAGUUUGUUACUUGAGGAUGUGUUGUGGUAAACAUCCCAGACCACUCGUUUGCUCUGUUGUGUUGACAGUAAACAUUUGUUUCCUCUCGCUGCUGCAGUCAAAUUUAAUCAAAACCUCAGUCGACUGUGCAAAAAAAAACCCAGACUGAAAACACAGGCAGGUGCAGAACAACUAAAGACGUCCGAAAAUGGGAACUAUGAGGCAUGUACUACCUGGGACUGAUGCCAACUGCUGACAAAAGGCUUUACUGCACGGUGCAAGGAGCCUUCAACUCAUUUGCCUCUGAAAUGCUUCAGGAAUCGCUGGUGCUGAAGUGUUUGGCCAACUGUAGAUAAACUUGUCAGACCCUUUGGCUUUGUUACGAGACAGCAUGUAAGUACUCACUUCUGAUUUCUUUACCCGAGAUUAUUUCUCUCUCUGUCUGUUCCCCCCCCCCCCCCCCCCCCCCCCUCCACUCCCAGCCUCUAAUCCCGCUGUCAAGAGAGAUGUCUAUUUGAUGACACAUAAUCUACAGUUCAUGUGACUGAUCCCCUUUAUGUGGCGAGUUAAACUCUGUCAACUCUGUGACUUCACCUCAAGAGCUCUACUCUUCUACUCUAUACUCUACUUCUAUGCACCUUCCGGGUGGAUUUCGUAUCUUUCGUAAGCAGCACCGUGUAAGCACAAUUUUGUGACUUCAUGAUUUCUUUUCCUGCCUCCCUUUCUCCUCGCCGUCUCUCCCCUCUUGGCAGCAGGGCAAAAGUGGGCAGGGAGAGAGGAGGGCAUGGCCCAGAAACUGCUCUCAAGCCCCAGCCCCUGUUCAAGUGGGGUUGCUCGCUGGUACACUACUCAGCCUUUCCCUCGUCCUACAGGCUAAAGAGAGGGAUGUGGAAAUGCAUUCUUGUCUCCUUUCUAACCCGCCUUUUUUUUUUUUUUUCGCCGCCACCAUGGCCUAAUUCUCUGCGGGUGAACACUCGCCUGACCUGUACAAAAAAAACUCCAGGGUUGCUACGAAGGUGCGAGAAAUCCGCACCAGAUGCAACACAACGUUUCUUUCAGCCGAACUGUGGCUACUGUUAAACCACAAAAUUAAAAAGUAUACCACAUGAGUGGAAUAAGCAACUUGAAAAAUAUGUGGUUUGUAUAUCAUACAGGCAAAUCGUGUCAUUUCGUGACGUACUCUUGAACACUGCGGUUUGAUAGACCUCUUCACAAACCAGUAUGAACCAGAUCCCUCUGUUGCAAGCAUUGUUCUAUACAUGAAGGGGCUUGCGUUGUAAGAUUACAGGGUCUCGGUUUUCGAUCAAACCUUUUUUCGGUUUGUUUUUUAACCACGAGAAGCACCAAAGCUACAAAAGCAUUAUAAAAAUUAGGUACAAUAGCUAUAAAAAUAUUUUUUUUUUACUUUACAGAUUACACUCCUAACCAGACUUAUUGUGAAAUGCCUGUGUAAAACAUUUUGGCACAUGCUACUUGGUGUGCAGCUGUGUGUGGUUUUGUUUGCAUAGAGUCGAGUCAGCGUUUGUGUUUGAGUGUGCGAGAAUGACAGGUUAUGGCAUACUGUACUGUACACAAAGGGUGAAUGAAGGAAAAAAAAGGAGGAGGGCGCAGCGAGAACGGGCAGCAAGAGAGAAAAUGAACUUAUUUCCUCCUCCCACCCCCACCCCCCUCUGUUCUCCUCAGAUGAACUUGCUUGAUGACAUGUUGUUUGGAAAGCCAUAUCCUCCUCUAUUUGCGUUUCUCUCCUCGGCUCGGUUAGAGUGACUCUGUGGUUACCAGGAUCAAAGUCUCUUUUUUUUUGUGGCUGUUGCUUUUAUCAGGUCAUACUGCAUACACACAUUCAGCUUUUCCUGUUUGUUAGCAAAACAGAGUCAUGGGUUAUAAGCAGCAUUUGAUCUGAUUCUUUUUACCAAGGACGUUUUACAUAAACUACCACUUAUAACCAUUCUAGUUUGAGAGAUCCAUUUCGAGAAUCACAUCUGCAAAGUCCAGAUGUUCUACCAGUGUCCUUGCAUUUUGUUUUAAUGUGUGGAUUAUUGGAUUGGCAGGUUUCCCCGUGACAAGAUAGAGCCACGUAUGACAACAGCUCACUGAACAAACUUUCGAGAUUGUUUAAACUUUCAGGCACUUAUUGUAUCGACAUCAAGCUGCGAACUUUGACAACAACAAACCAUAAAAAGUACUUGCAAAGACUUUUUUUCACCCUGGUCUCUUGAAAGUAGUAUUGUGUGUAUAGUAAAGCUCCAUCUGUCGUACUUCAUAGAUAUGACACACAAGCCGAGAGCCAGGAAACGUCCACAGCUGGUAACAAAACGUGCACCACAAACAGCAGUCUUCCAGCCUCGUCACUCUAAUAAAACACCAUCCAAUAAACAAACCCACAAUAAUAAAGCACUUAAAAUCACUUCACUUAACAUGAAAAUAUUUAAAAAGUAGAAAGUGUCAUUGCCCUUCUGAUACAUUGUAUUUUGAUCAGAAUACAAUGAAGUAAGUUAUUAACAUAAUUAUCAUAAUUAACAGUUAUAUUAGUAGCAAUUUAGAUAUCAUGAUGCUGAAUGUAUUAAAAAGUAAACGGUCAGACACAGCACAACUACUGGCUAUAAACACUCACAGUCAAGUAGCAUUUUCAAUAGACGUGGGUUUUAGCUAAAAUUGGUUUGGUGCACUGGUUUCUGUGGUAAUAUGUCCAAUAAUACAAGCUGUGUCAUAAAUGUAAAUUUUGAAUUUGAAAAGCAAUUUAGUAUUAUUUUUAAUCAACCUACAUGACACUCGUUCCAAGUAAAAAGUGUUUCUAAUGUAGUAAAUACCCCCCACCUUUGGUGUAGGGGUAUUUUAUGUUUGUACUAGGGGUGUCGCGAUAUAACCGGUACUGACGAUAACCGGGAUAUUUAAAAAAUUAAAUAGUGAUAUCAUGUUAAUAAUACACAAAUGAUUAUAGAGUGUUUGUACAGUUAUGGUUACAGACUCUCUCUCCUUCUUCCUACACUUUUAAUUUGAGUAUAAAGGCCUUUUCAUACCAGGGGCGUGACGAAUAAACGACACGAAAAUGCGAAAUACUCGCCUGCGAACAUUAUUAUGUCUAGGGCUUUUAUUGUGAAAAGUAAGAGUGGAUCUCAUCUGUGCUGCAUUUGAAAGAAUGAAAGUUAACAAAACUCAAAAAAUUCAAACUUGUUCCGAAAAAAAGUACUUCACUAUUAUGCCGUAUAAUAUUCAUGAAGAAAAUGAAAGUACUCGUGACAAAAACAACAGUUUAGAAAAAAUGAAUUGACGUGCAAAUCAAUCACAUGAAAAAAAAAAAAAGCCCCCGGUGGGUAAAGGCCUUAAAUCAUUUGUUAAAAAGAGACAAAACGCACAAUAAACAAAGUUAAAGA